CAGGGAGACAAACAAUGAUUUUGAUGCCUGAGUACUUUUAUUCUUAGGCCGAAAUCCUGUCACCUUAGGUCGAUCGGUACCUCAGCGUUGAAGCAACAGAGUUAACAGAGAUGUUGAUGCGAGUUGUGGAGAUGAUCAGUUCCUAAACUUUGUCUAGGUCACACCCCACAAGGGUUGAGUUUUCCUGGGCCAUUAGCUCAGGUGGUUAGAGCGCACCCCUGAUAAGGGUGAGGUCCCUGGUUCAAGUCCAGGAUGGCCCAUUCGGUGUUGGGGGUUUAGCUCAGUUGGUAGAGCGCCUGCUUUGCAAGCAGGAUGUCAGGAGUUCG
This 326-nucleotide transfer RNA is filed under the name uncultured Synechococcus sp. Its description in RNAcentral is "partial 16S-23S ribosomal RNA intergenic spacer". The stretch from base 187 to 260 matches the Rfam family "tRNA". Lineage: Bacteria; Bacillati; Cyanobacteriota; Cyanophyceae; Synechococcales; Synechococcaceae. The record is from RNAcentral.